This 437-nucleotide ribosomal RNA is filed under the name uncultured Nakamurella sp. Its description in RNAcentral is "partial 16S ribosomal RNA". It matches the Rfam family "Bacterial small subunit ribosomal RNA", at positions 341 to 792 of the family's 1533-position model. The record is from RNAcentral. Lineage: Bacteria; Bacillati; Actinomycetota; Actinomycetes; Nakamurellales; Nakamurellaceae.
ACGGAAGGCAGCAGUGGGGAAUAUUGGGCAAUGGGCGCAAGCCUGACCUAGCGACGCCGCGUGAGGGAAGAAGGUCUUCGGAUUGUAAACCUCUUUCAGCAGGGAAGAAGCAAGUGACGGUAUCUGCAGAAGAAGUCACGGCUAACUACGUGCCAGCAGCCGCGGUAAUACGUAGGUGGCGAGUGUUAUCCGGAAUUACUGGGUGUAAAGGGUGUGUAGGCGGAGAAGCAAGUCAGGCGUGAAAUUUAUGGGCUCAACUCAUAAACUGCGCUUGAAACUGUUUCCCUUGAGAGUGGGAGAGGUAAACGGAAUUCCUGGUGUAGUAGUGAAAUGCGUAGAUAUCAGGAGGGACACCGGUGGCGAAGGCGGUUUACUGGACCACAACUGACGCUGAGACACGAAAGCGUGGGGAGCAAACAGGAUUAGAUACCCUGGUA